GAUGAACGCUGGCGGCGUGCCUAAUACAUGCAAGUCGAGCGAACAGACGAUUAGCUUGCUCCUCUGACUUUAGCGGCUGACGUGUGAUUAACACGUGUAUAACCUACCUAUAAUACUUGUAUAACUUCGUGAAACCUUUUCUAAUACCGUUUAAUAUUUUUAACCUCUUUGUUCAUUAGUUAAUGACGUUUUUUCUUUCUCUUUUAGAUGUUUCCGCUCCGCAUUAGCUAGUUGGUAAGGUAACGGCUUACCAAGGCAACGAUGCGUAGCCGACCUGAGAGGGUGAUAGGACAAACGGGAACGGAGACACGGAACAGAGAACUACGGGAGGCAGCAGUAGGGAAUAGUCCGCAAGGGGCGAAAGAAUGACGGAGCAAAGCCGAGUGAGUGAAGAAGGACUUAGGAUCGGAAAAAUCUGUUAUGAGGGAAGAAAAAAAGUGGAAGAAAAGAAGAACGGAAUGACGGUAACAAAAAAGAAAGCAACGGCUAACUACGUG
Molecule: ribosomal RNA, 497 nt
Filed under: uncultured bacterium
Lineage: Bacteria
Description: partial 16S ribosomal RNA
Rfam family: Bacterial small subunit ribosomal RNA
Source: RNAcentral